CAUUCAAAGAGUGCGUAAUAGCUCACUGGGCGAGUGAUCCUGCGCCGAAGAUUUCCGGGGCUAAAAUUUACUACCGAAGCUACGGCAUCAGUAAUGACGGGCAGGGGAGCUUCCAAUUCGGGCUGAAGCACGACCGUAAGGACAUGUGGACAGUAUGGGAGUGAGAAUGUUGGCAUGAGUAGCGAGAUGUGGGUGAGAAUCACACAGGCCGUAAACCCAAGGUUUCAAGGGGAAGGUUCGUCCGCCCUGGGUUAGGCGGGACCUAAGCUGAGGCCGAAAGGCGUAGGUGAUGGACAACAGGUGGAUAAUCCUGUACUACGGAUAACCGUUGGAGAGAAGGGAUGCCACAGUAGGAUAAGCUAAGCACCCUGUUGGGUAUGUGUGCCCAAGCAUUGAGGAAGUCAAAGUAGGCAAAUCCGCAUUGAUAAUGCUGGGAUGUACAGGGGAGAGAAA
Molecule: ribosomal RNA, 453 nt
Filed under: Clostridioides difficile
Lineage: Bacteria; Bacillati; Bacillota; Clostridia; Peptostreptococcales; Peptostreptococcaceae
Description: bacterial LSU rRNA
Rfam family: Bacterial large subunit ribosomal RNA
Source: RNAcentral